CUAGCGUUGCUCGGAAUCACUGGGCGUAAAGCGCACGUAGGCGGAUUGUUAAGUCAGUGGUGAAAUCCUGGAGCUCAACUCCAGAACUGCCUUUGAUACUGGCGAUCUCGAGUCCGGGAGAGGUGAGUGGAACUGCGAGUGUAGAGGUGAAAUUCGUAGAUAUUCGCAAGAACACCAGUGGCGAAGGCGGCUCACUGGCCCGGUACUGACGCUGAGGUGCGAAAGCGUGGGGAGCAAACAGG
Molecule: ribosomal RNA, 242 nt
Filed under: uncultured bacterium
Lineage: Bacteria
Description: partial 16S ribosomal RNA
Rfam family: Bacterial small subunit ribosomal RNA
Source: RNAcentral